GAUGAAGAACGUAGCGAAAUGCGAUAAGUAAUGCGAAUUGCAGAAUUCAGUGAGUCAUCGAAUCUUUGAACGCACAUUGCGCCCCUUGGUAUUCCGAGGGGCAUGCCUGUUCGAGCGUCAUUAUAACCCCUCAAGCUCAGCUUGGUGUUGGGGCCUGCUGCACUGGCAGCCCUUAAAAUCAGUGGCGGCGCCAUCUGGCUCUAAGCGUAAUAAUUCUUCUCGCUAUGGAGUCCUGGUGGAUGCUUGCCAUCAACCCCCAAUUUUUCUAUGGUUGACCUCGGAUCAGGUAGGGAUACCCGCUGAACUUAAGCAUAUCAAUAAGCGGAGGA
RNAcentral lists this unclassified non-coding RNA (329 nucleotides) under soil metagenome. RNAcentral's name for it is "partial contains 5.8S ribosomal RNA, internal transcribed spacer 2, and large subunit ribosomal RNA". The stretch from base 1 to 120 matches the Rfam family "5.8S ribosomal RNA", at positions 35 to 154 of the family's 154-position model. The record is from RNAcentral.